Camelus ferus (Wild Bactrian camel) is the source of this 72-nucleotide transfer RNA. It matches the Rfam family "tRNA". Rfam says of the family: Transfer RNA (tRNA) molecules are approximately 80 nucleotides in length. Their secondary structure includes four short double-helical elements and three loops (D, anti-codon, and T loops). NCBI's taxonomy places the organism in Eukaryota, Metazoa, Chordata, Mammalia, Artiodactyla, Camelidae. The record is from Rfam.
GAGGAUAUAGCUCAAUGGUAGAGUGUGUGCCUAGCAUGCACGAGACCCUGGGUUCAAUCCCCACUGCCUCCA